This 2395-nucleotide ribosomal RNA is filed under the name Escherichia coli. Its description in RNAcentral is "partial 23S ribosomal RNA". It matches the Rfam family "Bacterial large subunit ribosomal RNA", at positions 419 to 2798 of the family's 2925-position model. Lineage: Bacteria; Pseudomonadati; Pseudomonadota; Gammaproteobacteria; Enterobacterales; Enterobacteriaceae. The record is from RNAcentral.
GGGACACGUGGUAUCCUGUCUGAAUAUGGGGGGACCAUCCUCCAAGGCUAAAUACUCCUGACUGACCGAUAGUGAACCAGUACCGUGAGGGAAAGGCGAAAAGAACCCCGGCGAGGGGAGUGAAAAAGAACCUGAAACCGUGUACGUACAAGCAGUGGGAGCACGCUUAGGCGUGUGACUGCGUACCUUUUGUAUAAUGGGUCAGCGACUUAUAUUCUGUAGCAAGGUUAACCGAAUAGGGGAGCCGAAGGGAAACCGAGUCUUAACUGGGCGUUAAGUUGCAGGGUAUAGACCCGAAACCCGGUGAUCUAGCCAUGGGCAGGUUGAAGGUUGGGUAACACUAACUGGAGGACCGAACCGACUAAUGUUGAAAAAUUAGCGGAUGACUUGUGGCUGGGGGUGAAAGGCCAAUCAAACCGGGAGAUAGCUGGUUCUCCCCGAAAGCUAUUUAGGUAGCGCCUCGUGAAUUCAUCUCCGGGGGUAGAGCACUGUUUCGGCAAGGGGGUCAUCCCGACUUACCAACCCGAUGCAAACUGCGAAUACCGGAGAAUGUUAUCACGGGAGACACACGGCGGGUGCUAACGUCCGUCGUGAAGAGGGAAACAACCCAGACCGCCAGCUAAGGUCCCAAAGUCAUGGUUAAGUGGGAAACGAUGUGGGAAGGCCCAGACAGCCAGGAUGUUGGCUUAGAAGCAGCCAUCAUUUAAAGAAAGCGUAAUAGCUCACUGGUCGAGUCGGCCUGCGCGGAAGAUGUAACGGGGCUAAACCAUGCACCGAAGCUGCGGCAGCGACACUGUGUGUUGUUGGGUAGGGGAGCGUUCUGUAAGCCUGUGAAGGUGUGCUGUGAGGCAUGCUGGAGGUAUCAGAAGUGCGAAUGCUGACAUAAGUAACGAUAAAGCGGGUGAAAAGCCCGCUCGCCGGAAGACCAAGGGUUCCUGUCCAACGUUAAUCGGGGCAGGGUGAGUCGACCCCUAAGGCGAGGCCGAAAGGCGUAGUCGAUGGGAAACAGGUUAAUAUUCCUGUACUUGGUGUUACUGCGAAGGGGGGACGGAGAAGGCUAUGUUGGCCGGGCGACGGUUGUCCCGGUUUAAGCGUGUAGGCUGGUUUUCCAGGCAAAUCCGGAAAAUCAAGGCUGAGGCGUGAUGACGAGGCACUACGGUGCUGAAGCAACAAAUGCCCUGCUUCCAGGAAAAGCCUCUAAGCAUCAGGUAACAUCAAAUCGUACCCCAAACCGACACAGGUGGUCAGGUAGAGAAUACCAAGGCGCUUGAGAGAACUCGGGUGAAGGAACUAGGCAAAAUGGUGCCGUAACUUCGGGAGAAGGCACGCUGAUAUGUAGGUGAAGUCCCUCGCGGAUGGAGCUGAAAUCAGUCGAAGAUACCAGCUGGCUGCAACUGUUUAUUAAAAACACAGCACUGUGCAAACACGAAAGUGGACGUAUACGGUGUGACGCCUGCCCGGUGCCGGAAGGUUAAUUGAUGGGGUUAGCCGCAAGGCGAAGCUCUUGAUCGAAGCCCCGGUAAACGGCGGCCGUAACUAUAACGGUCCUAAGGUAGCGAAAUUCCUUGUCGGGUAAGUUCCGACCUGCACGAAUGGCGUAAUGAUGGCCAGGCUGUCUCCACCCGAGACUCAGUGAAAUUGAACUCGCUGUGAAGAUGCAGUGUACCCGCGGCAAGACGGAAAGACCCCGUGAACCUUUACUAUAGCUUGACACUGAACAUUGAGCCUUGAUGUGUAGGAUAGGUGGGAGGCUUUGAAGUGUGGACGCCAGUCUGCAUGGAGCCGACCUUGAAAUACCACCCUUUAAUGUUUGAUGUUCUAACGUGGACCCGUGAUCCGGGUUGCGGACAGUGUCUGGUGGGUAGUUUGACUGGGGCGGUCUCCUCCUAAAGAGUAACGGAGGAGCACGAAGGUUGGCUAAUCCUGGUCGGACAUCAGGAGGUUAGUGCAAUGGCAUAAGCCAGCUUGACUGCGAGCGUGACGGCGCGAGCAGGUGCGAAAGCAGGUCAUAGUGAUCCGGUGGUUCUGAAUGGAAGGGCCAUCGCUCAACGGAUAAAAGGUACUCCGGGGAUAACAGGCUGAUACCGCCCAAGAGUUCAUAUCGACGGCGGUGUUUGGCACCUCGAUGUCGGCUCAUCACAUCCUGGGGCUGAAGUAGGUCCCAAGGGUAUGGCUGUUCGCCAUUUAAAGUGGUACGCGAGCUGGGUUUAGAACGUCGUGAGACAGUUCGGUCCCUAUCUGCCGUGGGCGCUGGAGAACUGAGGGGGGCUGCUCCUAGUACGAGAGGACCGGAGUGGACGCAUCACUGGUGUUCGGGUUGUCAUGCCAAUGGCACUGCCCGGUAGCUAAAUGCGGAAGAGAUAAGUGCUGAAAGCAUCUAAGCACGAAACUUGCC